AGGUCUAUGUGGUCGCCACUGGUUUGGAGAUCCUACUAAUUGAUGCAGGUCGAAAGGCAUCUCGUUCGGCGUCUAGACUUCUGAAGCGAAGUGGUUUCUGGGUUAUUUUGUUGUACAAUGAUGUAUAAAUAUGUACUUAGCUUUCUCUCCGCAUAACUUAUUCUUUUGAUCCUCUUAGAGGUUUAUGGAGAGACAGGAUUUUGUUUAUGUACAUUUGGGUUUUGGAUAUGUAUAUAUAUGUGUGUGUAUAUUCUCUGGCCAGUCUUGACUUCGCGGGCUGAGUUAGGAGCUUGUUAUUUUGUAUCUUUAACCCUCUGUUCCUGGUUUUGGUUACUUUAUAUUUAACAGUUAUAGCUUUCUUAGUAA
Long non-coding RNA from Arachis duranensis, 366 nucleotides. RefSeq lists it as uncharacterized. The record is from RefSeq and is a predicted model, not a curated record. The transcript has 2 exons. NCBI's taxonomy places the organism in Eukaryota, Viridiplantae, Streptophyta, Magnoliopsida, Fabales, Fabaceae.